This 519-nucleotide unclassified non-coding RNA is filed under the name Pavonia sidifolia. RNAcentral describes it as "partial external transcribed spacer". The stretch from base 460 to 519 matches the Rfam family "Eukaryotic small subunit ribosomal RNA", at positions 1 to 60 of the family's 1831-position model. Lineage: Eukaryota; Viridiplantae; Streptophyta; Magnoliopsida; Malvales; Malvaceae. The record is from RNAcentral.
UGGGGCGUGUGAGUGGUGUUUGGUUGUGUGUGACGGCAGGCUCCGUGCUACGCGCAUCGAACUGUCGAGCCGCACUCCUCUUCAAUAUCAUCCCCUUGUGGCCGGUGUCCACAAGGGGUGAUUCAGGGAUCCUGUGUUGCGUACCCAAAUCGAUGGAAUUUUGGAUGUGUUAUCGUCCAUUGUCCGUCGUGUGGCCUUGCGGCUGCCCGAUGGACCUUAGUCGUGCCCGGUGUCCCGAUUGUGUCGGUCAAGAUGAUUCGAUCAUGUCGGUGCAUCGGUGCUCGAUCGUGCUUUCGGAUGCGGAAAAUCUCGUGAGCGUAGGGGCACGUCCCCGAUCGCUCGACUCGUUUGCAUUUUGUCCCUUGACACGAUCGAUGCUCUUGCCCUGUCACGGCCUCUCGCUCGCCUACCCAGGUUGUGCGAUGCUGGCCGCGCAGGGCGGACGUCGUCGAGGAAUGCUACCUGGUUGAUCCUGCCAGUAGUCAUAUGCUUGUCUCAAAGAUUAAGCCAUGCAUGUAA